RNAcentral lists this ribosomal RNA (253 nucleotides) under uncultured bacterium. Its description in RNAcentral is "partial 16S ribosomal RNA". It matches the Rfam family "Bacterial small subunit ribosomal RNA", at positions 524 to 776 of the family's 1533-position model. The record is from RNAcentral.
UACGGAGGAUGCGAGCGUUAUCCGGAAUGAUUGGGCGUAAAGCGUCCGCAGGUGGCUAUGUAAGUCUGCUGUUAAAGAGUGAGGCUCAACCUCAUAAAAGCAGUGGAAACUACAUGGCUAGAGUGCGUUCGGGGCAGAGGGAAUUCCUGGUGUAGCGGUGAAAUGCGUAGAGAUCAGGAAGAACACCGGUGGCGAAAGCGCUCUGCUAGGCCGCAACUGACACUCAUGGACGAAAGCUAGGGGAGCGAAUGGG